Molecule: non-coding RNA, 1254 nt
Organism: Vicugna pacos (alpaca)
Lineage: Eukaryota; Metazoa; Chordata; Mammalia; Artiodactyla; Camelidae
Source: RefSeq, a predicted model, not a curated record
UAUUCAAAUGGGCUUGCCGGGCGCGGGCCCCCCGCCCCCAGCGUCCGCGAGUCCCCGGAUGAGCGCGGAUCCCGUUUCCCCCUGAUAGCCGCCGGCUUUGUCUGCGGCCGGCCCGCACCCGCUCCCGCUCCCGCUCGAUUCUCUCUUUCUUCCCCCGAGGCUUUGUCUCUGUCUCCUCCUCGCACCCCUCCCGCUUCGUGUCCCUGGGAAGACUCAGCCUCAGACACCAGCCACCCGACCCGGGCCGACUGCCCGGGACCUGGCAAACCCCGCUGACAGCGCAUUUGGGGAGGAUUGUCGAACCCAAAACAGAUCCACCCACUGAGGCGGCGGAGAAAAAGCGGUUCGGAGGGUGCAGCACUCAGGAAAUGAGGUGGCAAGCUAGACACACACCUACUUUGAGACAGGAAUUAUGUUGAAGAACUUCAUCACCCACCUGGUAUCCACCAAGACAUAGCCCUUCCUGGAAUGAACUAUGGUCUCCUAAAGGCGGUUUCGUUUCAUGGGUCCCGUGGAUCUGAGAGAAACAGGCGAUUGGCCCUCUCCCACGCAAGGAGAAGCAGCAAUGGACUGGGGCCUGCACCUGGGCAGGUGCACGUGGAGCUGGACGAUCCUGUGACAUCCUGGAAACGCAGCGAGGAGUAUGGCAGAUCGUCUGCUCUGGAGUCAGCUGACUGCUCUGAAUCUUCGCUCUGUCACUCAGUCCUUGCAGGAGCUGUAUUAUCCGGGUCAGUUACUCAACUUUCUGAGGCUCGGUUUCCACCUGUGUGAAAUGGGGAUAAGAUGUCCACCUCAGAGGGUCAUUAAGAGGUUUAGACUGGUUAAUGCAUGGACAGCUUCUGGAGAAGGCAUUUUCCCAGGACCAGAGAAGAACUGGUGAGUGGGGUGCUUUGAAGGCACGUGAGGGAGGAUAACUACAGGCUGGGGCUCUGGGCGACCCUUCCCGAGGGAGAAGAAAAUGAAGUAGCUGUUAGUAGCAGGACAGAAAACAGGGUGCCUGGAUGCCAAGCAUCAUCAGGAACGUUGCCUGGGGUGGGAAAAAUGAAAUCUCGGAACACUCCUGCCUUCUUGCCUACUGCUUUUCAUUUCUUAAUUCUUUUUUUUUUAAAUGAAGAUGGGAAGGUUUACAAUUUUGACAGUUCCAUUUAUUUCUACCAUUUUCAUCUAAAACAAUACAGUGAACAGAAAUUAUUCCACCCAGGGUUUCAACUGCAGCUGGAUAAAUGUCAGUAUUAAUUAAACAUGUUCUGUGUA